RNAcentral lists this long non-coding RNA (2190 nucleotides) under Brassica napus (rape). RNAcentral's name for it is "long non-coding RNA (BNAP_LNC002827)". The record is from RNAcentral. Lineage: Eukaryota; Viridiplantae; Streptophyta; Magnoliopsida; Brassicales; Brassicaceae.
ACGGUAAAACGAAGUAAAGCUCUCCAGGCCGGAGAUCCUCGCUGCCACCGACUGCUAGAACUGCGUCGUCGAAGUCCAUAUCGUCUGAGUUACAAACAAAACUCGUGGGAUUCUUCUGAAGAAUCUGCCACACUUUUACAGGUGACGUAAACUCUUGUAACGUUCCGUCUUGUAAUAUUAGCUUCGCUGUGUCUGUUCUCCUAGAUUCACUUGAACCGCAAGCUCCCAUUUUCGGGUAUGUUUGUCUCGUGAGGUUAAGAAGGUUUGUAGAGAGAGAGAGAGAGAGAGCUGUGUUUUGAAGGAGAUAACAAGCAUCGUGGGGCUUUAUAUAGACAAUGAGUUAGCGAAAUGGAACCUCGUGAUUCGGAAACUUCAAGUAACUUUGGUUUUUGUCGGUUAGUGUUUCAAAAUCAGACAGAACGGCUCACGUAAUCUUGUUGUCGAAAUGAAUUUACAACAUUACCCCUCAUAUGUGACAUAGGAAACGUUGUGUUGAGACGUAAUUAAGAGAAGAAAAUAAUGGUAUUUUGGGAAAAUAGACAAAACAUUGGAGUGUAGACAAAAUCAGAGCAAGGAGACAAGGCUUAGGUGGUCGGACGUUUAUUCUCCGACGGAUGAGGUGCAAGGAAGCUCGGUUUAUGGAGCAUCACGUGAAGGCAACAUGGACUUAAGCAUGGGUCCAACUGGGUCGGGUCGGGUCUGGUCCCAUUUAGAUUCAUUAGUUAACGAGGGAUCGGGUCAUUUUACUCUAUGUACGUGCAUUACAUUAACUGUUUUAUUUAAUUUUGGUUUGAACGUGCAUCAAUAAUGUAAUCCAACCCGAAAUCUUUUUUCUUUUUCCAACUUGAAGUUAUUGAAUGUCUAUCUAUACAAUAUUAAGGUCCACAACGCUGUAUCUAAUUUUUUGUUGUUAUAAACUAUAACGCAAGUACAAUUUUAAGAUAUAAAUAUUUUGAUCAGGAUCGCUUGUGUUGAGGAAUAUCGCUUUCCGUUGGACGUAACAAAAAGAAUUGUUUUGUAGUAUCUAAAGUAGGAUAGUUGUGUAACCAAACACAAUAUAAAAAUUCACAGGCUUCAAUUAUAUGAAGUUAUGAACCUCUAUUAUUCCUUUUUAAUGUUUGCUAAGAUGAACCUCUAUUAUUUCCUACCACUUUGUAUACAUUUCUCCCCCAAAAUGAAGUAUAUUUUAAGUUAAACUAAUUAACAUCAUUUAAAAAAAAUUAAAGACUUUGAUCUCUUGUCUUGGAUUAGGAAUUAGGAUCACCCACGUAUCCGCCGAACUGUAUUUCUUAGUGCGUCUAAUAAUUGAAAUAUAAUAAAAGCGAUUUUGUUUGAUUUCUCCAAGCUUUUUUGGACAUGAUGAAGAACUAGUCCCCAUUCAAAAAUAAAAUAAAAAACAUUAAAACAAUUUGUUGAAUAAAUUAUUAAAUGGAACAGAAUCUGGCUGACCAUUACUGUGGCCUUAUAUAAGAAUCACGACAAGGUAUAAUUUAAAUUCAAAAUCGACGUUCGAUAAACUGGCAUAUAUCUUUCCUCUAAGAUUUUAAUAAUAGAUCAUCAUGCAUAUUUUACAUAGUAGAAAUAUGGGAAUAAAUGUAGAUGAUAUAGUAGUUUAAACUUCUUCUUUUUUUUUGUCAGCAAAAAAGAUAUUGAUGAUGGAUACGCUCGUGUUAAUACUUAUCCGGCUCCUAUAUAAAAAAAAAUUGAAGGAGUAGUUAACUAUUUAUUUAUUAUUACUAUAUAGUAAUAUACAUUAUUAACUUUUAUAUUCGUAGAUAAUGCGUCGUUCAGGUUUUUCAAAAAAAAAUUUCGUAGAUAAUGUAUGACAAAUGCUUGUUAGUUUUAUGUUUUUCUUCGGAACGGUUCAACAAGGGUUUCUGAACUCUCAUUUAUCUUCACAACGGAUUCACAAACGUCUUCCGAAUUCUCUUGCUAUCAUCUCAUACCAUUGUGAGCAAGAGCAGGGGCAGGCACAGGUGGACCAUGGAUGUGGCUGGCAUAUGCCGUGGGAUUCUUCUGAAGAAUCUGCCACACUUUUACAGGUGACGUAAACUCUUGUAACGUUCCGUCUUGUAAUAUUAGCUUCGCUGUGUCUGUUCUCCUAGAUUCACUUGAACCGCAAGCUCCCAUUUUCGGGUAUGUUUGUCUCGUGAGGUUAAGAAGGUUUGUAGAGAGAGAGAGAGAGAGAGC